Molecule: long non-coding RNA, 1067 nt
Organism: Brassica oleracea var. oleracea
Lineage: Eukaryota; Viridiplantae; Streptophyta; Magnoliopsida; Brassicales; Brassicaceae
Exons: 3
Source: RefSeq, a predicted model, not a curated record
AGCAGACGAAGGUUCUAGAGGUCACAACGUUUGAUUGUGACCACCUUUAUUUCCUGUUUUUACGUGAUUACCCCACUCCGAAGCAUUCAAUCCGACUCAUUGCAUUCCAGAGUAACUUACUAGAGCGUCGAGUAUAAAUAACCCCUCAUCCAGAAGAGUACUCUGUUCACCUUUCUGAUUACUGCAAUGGUGAAUUCCUUCAUCCUCUUCGCAGACUUGAAAGCAUGUCGUUGCUCUAACACGGCGGAGGUCCGUUUACUGAGAUUAUGGGAGGCAAGUGUUGACAGCUUCUUCUCGAUGAACAGUGUUACGCUUAUCCAUGGGACCAUCAACUCAAGCGGCGUCGAUAAUUUCCGGAACCGUCUCAGUGGUUUCGACUUCACAUGAAGUAACAAUAAAUUCCGACUCUCACCUCUGAAAACUCCAUCCGCUUCAGUGAUGGAAUGUCCUUUGAAGCAGAAAAUGACUCUGAUAAGGUUAUUCCAGUACGUAUCAUUAACACUCCUCUUAAUGAGCAAGUAUCUACUUUUUGUCUUAUUGGAUUCAGGGCAUUAUUGAAUGGUACUGGUCUAGCAGCAAUGUUGUGUUCUUGGAUGCUUUAGAUUUAUGUUUCUGUCAACUGAAUUUGACAUCCUGGUGUUUGAUCUUAACAUGGAAAUCGAGAAAAUUUAGAAAUUAAGAUCACAUAUUACAUAUACCCUGCUUUUGAUCAGGACAUUGGAAGCUUGAUCGUUGCUACUAAAACUUCUUUAGAGUUUUCACCAUCAACGAUUUGAUGCUUUUGGGGUUGACUCUGUUUUUCAUACUUUGUCUCUUCUUUCGACUGUGUUUUGUAAACUCAUGAUUGUUCAUUCUUCCAUGACACUGUGUUUUGUAAACUCAGAGAAUUAGAGAAUUAGCUAGCCACAUUUUCUGAGAUACUCUCCUCCAAUCUCAAAGAAGAAGAGAAUCUUUUUGGGUUGGAGAUAAGAAGAGACUAAAAGAGACAAAAAUCAUGAACAUGGCUAUAAACGUGUAUCAUUCAGUCUUAAAAAUAUUUUCUUCUUUUUGACCUUUUCUAUAGAUUU